Molecule: ribosomal RNA, 440 nt
Filed under: uncultured bacterium
Lineage: Bacteria
Description: partial 16S ribosomal RNA
Rfam family: Bacterial small subunit ribosomal RNA
Source: RNAcentral
CCUACGGGAGGCAGCAGUGGGGGAUAUUGCACAAUGGGGGAAACCCUGAUGCAGCGACGCCGCGUGAGUGAAGGAGUAUUUCGGUAUGUAAAGCUCUAUCAGCAGGGAAGAAAAUGACUGUACCUGAUUAAGAAGCCCCGGCUAACUACGUGCCAGCAGCCGCGGUAAUACGUAGGGGGCAAGCGUUAUCCGGAUUUACUGGGUGUAAAGGGGGCGUAGACGGCAGCACAAGUCUGGAGUGAAAUGCCGGGGCUUAACCCCGGAACUGCUUUGGAAACUGUGCAGCUAGAGUGCAGGAGAGGUAAGUGGAAUUCCUAGUGUAGCGGUGAAAUGCGUAGAUAUUAGGAGGAACACCAGUGGCGAAGGCGGCUUACUGGACUGUAACUGACGUUGAGGCUCGAAAGCGUGGGGAGCAAACAGGAUUAGAUACCCUAGUAGUC